RNAcentral lists this ribosomal RNA (484 nucleotides) under uncultured bacterium. RNAcentral describes it as "partial 16S ribosomal RNA". It matches the Rfam family "Bacterial small subunit ribosomal RNA", at positions 29 to 507 of the family's 1533-position model. The record is from RNAcentral.
AUUGAACGCUGGCGGCAUGCUUUACACAUGCAAGUCGAACGGCAGCGCGGGCUUCGGCCUGGCGGCGAGUGGCGAACGGGUGAGUAAUACAUCGGAACGUGCCCAGUAGUGGGGGAUAGCUCGGCGAAAGCCGGAUGAAUACCGCAUACGACCUGAGGGUGAAAGCGGGGGAGCUUCGGACCUCGCGCUAUUGGAGCGGCCGAUGGCAGAUUAGCUAGUUGGUGGGGUAAGGGCCUACCAAGGCGACGAUCGGUAGCUGGUCUGAGAGGCCGACCAGCCACACUGGGACUGAGACACGGCCCAGACUCCUACGGGAGGCAGCAGUGGGGAAUUUUGGACAAUGGGCGAAAGCCUGAUCCAGCAAUGCCGCGUGUGUGAUGAAGGCCUUCGGGUUGUAAAGCACUUUUGGCGGGAACGAAAAGGACUGUGCCAAUACCACGGUUCGAUGACGGUACCCGCAGAAUAAGCACCGGCUAACUACGUG